Molecule: ribosomal RNA, 468 nt
Filed under: uncultured bacterium
Lineage: Bacteria
Description: partial 16S ribosomal RNA
Rfam family: Bacterial small subunit ribosomal RNA
Source: RNAcentral
GACGAACGCUGGCGGCGUGCUUAACACAUGCAAGUCGAACGGAAAGGCCCUGCUUUUGUGGGGUGCUCGAGUGGCGAACGGGUGAGUAACACGUGAGUAACCUGCCCUUGACUUUGGGAUAACUUCAGGAAACUGGGGCUAAUACCGGAUAGGAGCUCCUGCUGCAUGGUGGGGGUUGGAAAGUUUCGGCGGUUGGGGAUGGACUCGCGGCUUAUCAGCUUGAUGGUGGGGUAGUGGCUUACCAAGGCUUUGGCGGGUAGCCGGCCUGAGAGGGUGAGCGGCCACAUUGGGACUGAGACACGGCCCAGACUCCUACGGGAGGCAGCAGUGGGGGAGAUUGCACAAUGGGCGGAAGCCUGAUGCAGCAACGCCGCGUGCGGGAUGACGGCCUUCGGGUUGGAAACCGCUUGCGCCUGUGACGAAGCGUGAGUGAAGGUAAUGGGUAAAGAAGCACCGGCUAACUACGUG